CCUACGGGCGGCUGCAGUGGGGAAUAUUGGACAAUGGGGGCAACCCUGAUCCAGCCAUGCCGCGUGUGUGAAGAAGGCCCUCGGGUUGUAAAGCACUUUCAGUGAGGAAGAACGCCUGGUGGUUAAUACCCAUCAGGAAAGACAUCACUCACAGAAGAAGCACCGGCUAACUCCGUGCCAGCAGCCGCGGUAAUACGGAGGGUGCGAGCGUUAAUCGGAAUUACUGGGCGUAAAGCGCGCGUAGGUGGCUUGAUAAGCCGGUUGUGAAAGCCCCGGGCUCAACCUGGGAACGGCAUCCGGAACUGUCAAGCUAGAGUGCAGGAGAGGAAGGUAGAAUUCCCGGUGUAGUGGUGAAAUGCGUAGAGAUCGGGAGGAAUACCAGUGGCGAAGGCGGCCUUCUGGACUGACACUGACACUGAGGUGCGAAAGCGUGGGUAGCAAACAGGAUUAGAUACCCGGGUAGUC
RNAcentral lists this ribosomal RNA (465 nucleotides) under Vreelandella stevensii. RNAcentral's name for it is "partial 16S ribosomal RNA". It matches the Rfam family "Bacterial small subunit ribosomal RNA", at positions 338 to 795 of the family's 1533-position model. Lineage: Bacteria; Pseudomonadati; Pseudomonadota; Gammaproteobacteria; Oceanospirillales; Halomonadaceae. The record is from RNAcentral.